UGGGAUGUAGCUCAGUGAUAGAGUGCUUCCCUGGCAUGCUUGAGACCCUGGGUUCAAACCCCAGUACCACAC
This 72-nucleotide transfer RNA is filed under the name Ictidomys tridecemlineatus (thirteen-lined ground squirrel). RNAcentral describes it as "Spermophilus tridecemlineatus (thirteen-lined ground squirrel) tRNA". It matches the Rfam family "tRNA". From Rfam's summary of the family: Transfer RNA (tRNA) molecules are approximately 80 nucleotides in length. Their secondary structure includes four short double-helical elements and three loops (D, anti-codon, and T loops). The record is from Rfam by way of RNAcentral. Lineage: Eukaryota; Metazoa; Chordata; Mammalia; Rodentia; Sciuridae.